AGGAAGGUAGUGUAGUUAACACCUGCAUAUUUGACGUUACCUACAGAAGAAGCACCGGCUAACUCCGUGCCAGCAGCCGCGGUAAUACGGAGGGUGCGAGCGUUAAUCGGAAUUACUGGGCGUAAAGCGCAUGCAGGCGGCCUGUUAAGUCAGAUGUGAAAGACCCGGGGCGUUAACCUCCGGAAUUGCAUUUGAAACUAGGCAGGCUAGAGUCUUGUAGAGGGGGUAGGAAGUUCUAGGUGUAGCGGUGAAAUAGCGUAGAGAUCUGAAGGAAUACCAGUGGCGAAGGCGGCCCCCUCGGACAAAGACUGACGCUCAGAUGCGAAAGCGUGGGGAGCAAACAGGAUUAGAUACCCUGGUAG
This 362-nucleotide ribosomal RNA is filed under the name uncultured bacterium. RNAcentral describes it as "bacterial SSU rRNA". It matches the Rfam family "Bacterial small subunit ribosomal RNA", at positions 441 to 793 of the family's 1533-position model. The record is from RNAcentral.